This 1331-nucleotide ribosomal RNA is filed under the name Mnais costalis. RNAcentral describes it as "16S ribosomal RNA". The stretch from base 580 to 1331 matches the Rfam family "Archaeal large subunit ribosomal RNA", at positions 1423 to 2784 of the family's 2987-position model. The record is from RNAcentral. Lineage: Eukaryota; Metazoa; Arthropoda; Insecta; Odonata; Calopterygidae.
UACACUGAGGUGGUAUACUGUGCGAUUCAGUUUAAUCUGAUUAGGAAUUUUCUUACUAUUUUGAUUUGUUAAAUAUUAUUGGAGAAGUAACUUUGUUUAUAGUAAUAUAUUGAAAUUAAAGGUUUAGUGAUAGUAAAUUAGUACCGUGAGGGAAUGUUGAAAUAUUUUGAAAUAUUUUGCUUUGUGUAAGUAUAUUUUAUUUAUAGUACCUUUUGUAUCAGGGUCGGUCUAAUGUAUUCAAUUUAUUUUUAUUUCUCGAUUUUACAAGAGCUGAUUUAUUAAUUUGGUUGCUGUGGCAUAAGUAUCAUUAAUAUUUAUCAGGGAAGAUAUUUCAUUCGUUUGUAAGGGUAUCUAGUUCCUUAGGAGUUAAAUUUAAUUUAGUUUUAUUAUUUAUUUAUUUUAUUCUUAAAAUAAUUAUUUAAUAAAUUAUUUAUUGUAGGGGCUAAUCUCUGCUUUUUUCUAUAAUUAUUAUUUUUUAGUUUUAGUAGGGUUAAAAUCAUCCUUCUUAUAAUUACGUUAUAGUGUGGUCUAUUUUAUGUUGAUUUAAUUAAGUUUAGUAUAAUACUAAGGUGUUUUGUUGAUCUUUUUAUCAUUAUUAAUAGUGGUUGAAUUAGUAUAUAUUUAUUGUUUUGAGUUAUUAUUUUGUGAUCUUUUUUUAAGGAACUCGGCAAAUAUAGUUGCUCGCCUGUUUAUCAAAAACAUGUCCUCUUGUUUUAUUAUAUGAGGUCAAGCCUGCCCGGUGAUAAUUAUUUAACGGCCGCGGUAUUUUGACCGUGCAAAGGUAGCAUAAUCAUUAGUCUUUUAAUAGGGGGCUGGAAUGAAGGGCUUGACGAGGCUCUAACUGUCUCAAUUAAAUAAGUUAAAAUUUAGCUUUUGAGUUAAAAGGCUCAAAUUCUUUUGGAAGACGAGAAGACCCUAUAGAGCUUUAAUGGUCAAUUUUAAUGGCUGUUGUGUUUCAUUUUUACUGCUGUUGAUUAGACUUUUUUGUUGGGGCGACAAAAGAUAUAUAUUUAACUUUUAUUAUUUAUUAUACAUUUAUUUAUGAUUCUUAGAUCCAUUAUUAUUGAUUAGUAGAAUAAGUUACCUUAGGGAUAACAGCGUAAUCUUCCUCCAGAGCUCGAAUUUACAGGAAGGCUUGCGACCUCGAUGUUGGAUUAAGAUAAUGAUUGGGUGCAGUAGCCCAAUUAAUAGGUCUGUUCGACCUUUAAAUUCUUACAUGAUCUGAGUUCAGACCGGUUUAAGCCAGGUCGGUUUCUAUCUCCAAUUUUUUUGUAGUUUUUAGUACGAAAGGACCAUUAUUACAAGAUAAUCUUUUUUUUUGACUGCUAUUA